Molecule: ribosomal RNA, 239 nt
Filed under: uncultured Stenotrophomonas sp.
Lineage: Bacteria; Pseudomonadati; Pseudomonadota; Gammaproteobacteria; Lysobacterales; Lysobacteraceae
Description: partial 16S ribosomal RNA
Rfam family: Bacterial small subunit ribosomal RNA
Source: RNAcentral
AAUGAGACUGCCGGUGACAAACCGGAGGAAGUGGGAUGACGUCAAGUCCUCAUGGCCCUUAUGGGUAGGGCUUCACACGUCAUACAAUGGUCGGUACAGAGGGUUGCCAAGCCGCGAGGUGGAGCCAAUCCCAGAAAGCCGCUCUCAGUUCGGAUUGCAGGCUGCAACUCGCCUGCAUGAAGCCGGAAUCGCUAGUAAUCGCGGAUCAGCAUGCCGCGGUGAAUACGUUCCCGGGCCUU